Molecule: ribosomal RNA, 255 nt
Filed under: uncultured bacterium
Lineage: Bacteria
Description: partial 16S ribosomal RNA
Rfam family: Bacterial small subunit ribosomal RNA
Source: RNAcentral
UACGUAGGGUGCGAGCGUUAAUCGGAAUUACUGGGCGUAAAGCGUGCGCAGGCGGUUUUGUAAGCCAGAUGUGAAAUCCCCCGGGCUUAACCUGGGAAUGGCAUUUGGGACUGCAAGGCUUGAGUGCGGCAGAGGAGACUGGAAUUCCUGGUGUAGCAGUGAAAUGCGUAGAUAUCAGGAGGAAUACCGAUGGCGAAGGCAGGUCUCUGGGCCGAUACCUGACGCUGAGGAGCGAAAGCGUGGGGAGCGAACAGG